Molecule: ribosomal RNA, 385 nt
Filed under: uncultured Sphingobacteriales bacterium
Lineage: Bacteria; Pseudomonadati; Bacteroidota; Sphingobacteriia; Sphingobacteriales
Description: bacterial SSU rRNA
Rfam family: Bacterial small subunit ribosomal RNA
Source: RNAcentral
UGACAGCUGGCGAAGUUGGUUUCUUCGGACACUCUUCAAGGUGCUGCAUGGUUGUCGUCAGCUCGUGCCGUGAGGUGUCGGGUUAAGUCCCAUAACGAGCGCAACCCUUACUGUUAGUUGCCAGCGGGUCAAGCUGGGAACUCUAACGGGACUGCCACCGUAAGGUGAGAGGAAGGUGGGGAUGACGUCAAAUCAGCACGGCCCUUAUGUCCAGGGCUACACACGUGUUACAAUGGUCGGUACAAAGGGCAGCUAUACCGCGAGGUGAUGCUAAUCUCUAAAGCCGGUCUCAGUUCGGAUCGAAGUCUGCAACCCGACUUCGUGAAGUUGGAUUCGCUAGUAAUCGCGCAUCAGCCAUGGCGCGGUGAAUACGUUCCCGGGCCUU